GGACUGAUAGCUCAGUUGGAAGAGCACCAUUGUUUUAUGCUGGAGGCCACGGGUUCAAUCCCUGUCUAGUCCA
Molecule: transfer RNA, 73 nt
Filed under: Paxillus rubicundulus Ve08.2h10
Lineage: Eukaryota; Fungi; Basidiomycota; Agaricomycetes; Boletales; Paxillaceae
Rfam family: tRNA
About the family: Transfer RNA (tRNA) molecules are approximately 80 nucleotides in length.
Source: Rfam by way of RNAcentral